This 435-nucleotide ribosomal RNA is filed under the name uncultured bacterium. RNAcentral's name for it is "partial 16S ribosomal RNA". It matches the Rfam family "Bacterial small subunit ribosomal RNA", at positions 28 to 507 of the family's 1533-position model. The record is from RNAcentral.
GAUGAACGCUGGCGGUAUGCUUAACACAUGCAAGUCGAACGGACUCUUCGGAGUUAGUGGCGGACGGGUGAGUAACGCGUGAGAAUCUGGCUUUGGGUUCGGGACAACCACUGGAAACGGUGGCUAAUACCGGAUGUGCCGAGAGGUAAAAGAGAAAUUGCCUGAAGAUGAGCUCGCGUCUGAUUAGCUAGUUGGUGAAGUAAAGGCUCACCAAGGCAGCGAUCAGUAGCUGGUCUGAGAGGAUGACCAGCCACACUGGGACUGAGACACGGCCCAGACUCCUACGGGAGGCAGCAGUGGGGAAUUUUCCGCAAUGGGCGAAAGCCUGACGGAGCAAUACCGCGUGAGGGAAGAAGGCUCUUGGGUUGUAAACCUCUUUUCUUAGGGAAGAACAAAAUGACGGUACCUAAGGAAUCAGCAUCGGCUAACUCCGUG